This 640-nucleotide ribosomal RNA is filed under the name uncultured Bacteroidota bacterium. RNAcentral's name for it is "bacterial SSU rRNA". It matches the Rfam family "Bacterial small subunit ribosomal RNA", at positions 61 to 692 of the family's 1533-position model. The record is from RNAcentral. Lineage: Bacteria; Pseudomonadati; Bacteroidota.
GUCGAGGGUACUAGAGUGAUAGCAAUAUUACUUUGGCUAGACCGGCGCACGGGUGCGUAACACGUAUGCAACCUACCUUAUACUGGGGAAUAACUUCGAGAAAUCGGCGCUAAUACCCCAUAACACUGCGAAGAGGCAUCUCUUUGCAUUUAAAGCUCCGGCGGUAUAAGAUGGGCAUGCGUCCAAUUAGCUAGUUGGUGAGGUAACGGCUCACCAAGGCUACGAUUGGUAGGGGUUCUGAGAGGAUGAUCCCCCACACUGGUACUGAGACACGGACCAGACUCCUACGGGAGGCAGCAGUGAGGAAUAUUGCGCAAUGGACGAAAGUCUGACGCAGCCAUGCCGCGUGCAGGAUGACGGCCCUAUGGGUUGUAAACUGCUUUUGUAUGGGAAUAAACCCUUCUACGUGUAGAAGGCUGAAGGUACCAUAAGAAUAAGCACCGGCUAACUCCGUGCCAGCAGCCGCGGUAAUACGGAGGGUGCAAGCGCUAUCCGGAUUUAUUGGGUUUAAAGGGUCCGUAGGCGGGCCGAUAAGUCAGUGGUGAAAGCCCAUAGCUCAACUAUGGAACUGCCAUUGAUACUGUCGGUCUUGAGUAUAUGUGAUGUUGGCGGAAUGUGUAGUGUAGCGGUGAAAUGCUUA